GUGCCAGCAGCCGCGGUAAUACGUAGGGUGCAAGCGUUGUCCGGAAUUACUGGGCGUAAAGAGUUCGUAGGCGGUUUGUCGCGUCGUUUGUGAAAACCAGCAGCUCAACUGCUGGCUUGCAGGCGAUACGGGCAGACUUGAGUACUGCAGGGGAGACUGGAAUUCCUGGUGUAGCGGUGAAAUGCGCAGAUAUCAGGAGGAACACCGGUGGCGAAGGCGGGUCUCUGGGCAGUAACUGACGCUGAGGAACGAAAGCGUGGGUAGCGAACAGGAUUAGAUACCCUGGUAGUCC
Molecule: ribosomal RNA, 292 nt
Filed under: uncultured bacterium
Lineage: Bacteria
Description: partial 16S ribosomal RNA
Rfam family: Bacterial small subunit ribosomal RNA
Source: RNAcentral